UACGUAGGUGGCAAGCGUUGUCCGGAAUUACUGGGUGUAAAGGGCGUGUAGGCGGGGAGACAAGUCAGAUGUGAAAUACCGUGGCUUAACUGCGGGGGUGCAUCUGAAACUGUUUCUCUUGAGUGUCGGAGAGGAAAGUGGAAUUCCCAGUGUAGCGGUGAAAUGCGUAGAGAUUGGGAGGAACACCAGCGGCGAAGGCGGCUUUCUGGACGAUAACUGACGCUGAGGCGCGAAAGCGUGGGUAGCAAACAGGAUUAGAUACCCUGGUAGU
This 271-nucleotide ribosomal RNA is filed under the name uncultured prokaryote. RNAcentral's name for it is "partial 16S ribosomal RNA". It matches the Rfam family "Bacterial small subunit ribosomal RNA", at positions 524 to 794 of the family's 1533-position model. The record is from RNAcentral.